This 566-nucleotide ribosomal RNA is filed under the name uncultured bacterium. RNAcentral describes it as "partial 16S ribosomal RNA". It matches the Rfam family "Bacterial small subunit ribosomal RNA", at positions 355 to 914 of the family's 1533-position model. The record is from RNAcentral.
UGGGGAAUUUUGGACAAUGGGCGAAAGCCUGAUCCAGCAAUGCCGCGUGUGUGAAGAAGGCCUUCGGGUUGUAAAGCACUUUUGUCCGGAAAGAAAUCCUUGGCUCUAAUACAGUCGGGGGAUGACGGUACCGGAAGAAUAAGCACCGGCUAACUACGUGCCAGCAGCCGCGGUAAUACGUAGGGUGCAAGCGUUAAUCGGAAUUACUGGGCGUAAAGCGUGCGCAGGCGGUUUGCUAAGACCGAUGUGAAGUCCCCGGGCUCAACCUGGGAACUGCAUUGGUGACUGGCAGGCUAGAGUAUGGCAGAGGGGGGUAGAAUUCCACGUGUAGCAGUGAAAUGCGUAGAGAUGUGGAGGAAUACCGAUGGCGAAGGCAGCCCCCUGGGCCAAUACUGACGCUCAUGCACGAAAGCGUGGGGAGCAAACAGGAUUAGAUACCCUGGUAGUCCACGCCCUAAACGAUGUCAACUAGUUGUUGGGGAUUCAUUUCCUUAGUAACGUAGCUAACGCGUGAAGUUGACCGCCUGGGGAGUACGGUCGCAAGAUUAAAACUCAAAGGAAUUGAC